AAGGCAGGCAAGGAGGGUCAGUGCGGGCCCACUGCCUCACCUGCUGCUGAAGGAAAAGACCCCGCUACACAGAUUUCAUGACUUUUUGGUCCUAGAAGAAUUUCCUGGGCCAAGUGGCUGAGUGGGCUAGAAAUUUCAGUAGUGUUUUCCUCCCAGCCUUGAAAUAAAUGUUAACUGAAUUGUGAAAAGCAAACUAUUGACCCUGUUUGUCAGAACACAUUUGUGCUAACAAUAUUCAGCCUUGCACUAUCCCCUGUGUUUCUUCUUUGCUUCAAAACGUUUUGGAUUCAAAUCCUUUAGCUGAUACUCCAUGAUCAAUUUUGCUUUCCCAAGACGUGAUAACAAUUCUGAGCUAAUAAUUCCACAUCAGUGCUGCAGUACGAAUGCCCAUCCACAGCCCUCACCACGACCAUUUUCACAGCUUGGAGAAAGAAUUCAGAAACCCUACAAUGUCCUAUGCAAUGCAAAAGGAAACAGAUGGGCAGUCCUGGUCCUUUGCCCAGUGCAGGUACAGACCCAGCUUGCUCCCUUCCGGCAUCUUCUGAGUCAGUCUGAAUGUAUCACGAACCAUGGAGCCACAAACUGUAUUUGAUUAGUUGUAAUACUAAAAUAAAUGGAAUCAUUUGGGUUGUGUGACUUUCCCUAUGACAGAUAAAGCCAGAAGCAACAAAUUCCCUAGUGGGUAUAUAUGAUUAAUGUAUGAUGAAUUUAUAAUAUUUUUGCUUUUGACAGACUUUCAGAAGAAAUUGAGACCUGUUCUACUAUCACACUUUCUAAAUAAAAUUGCACUUUUACUUUUUGUGUCAGAAAACUUGCUGAUAAGCCAGAAAAGAUCAGAGAAAUAGAUACAUUUGGGAGAAGAUUUUACAUUAUUAUUGGGUCUUUGUUCCAAGCAAUUUCUGCAUCUUAGGGAUCAAGGUGAGCCUCCCAUAAUGCACCUGCCAGUAAGCAGGUAUUAAAAGGAAGUCUUUCUAGGCAUUUAUCUGUGAGACAUCAGACUGUAAGAUGAAAAGAUGACCUAGGGAUUUGCUGACCAUCACAGGCAAUGCUUGCUAUGAUUAAAGCUACAUAUGUUACCUGGACAUAGCUACAUCAAAGUACUAAUUAGGGAACAUGUGCUUCUAACUGGUACCCUCUGAGGCUAAUAUGCUUUCAUUUGUGUUAAAAACCAUGACUGAUGCAGAGAAUCAGUGCGAGGUAGAAAGAUAUAUCUAUAUAAUGGACAGUAUUACUGUACUCUCAUCUUUUCUGUGGUAUAUUCUCUUUAUGCAGAGAAAGAAAAUCUGUGUUUAUCUCACAGGGCUGAGACAUCCAAUUAAAGAGCCUUGUCCUACAAAAUCAUCUUUCUGAAAGAAAAAAUGAAAGAAAAUUGGUUUGAUUCACUUAUUCCUGAUGAUAAGUACUUAACUAUCAGUUUUCAGGAGAUUCUAAUACUAUAAUAUUCCCCAAAGGCUUGCUGUAAUGGGGAUAGACCACACUUACACAAAGAAGAAGGGAAAAACAUCACCCACACAUUGUGCAUGAAUAUAGAUGAUUUUUAAAAACUGAUUUACCAAGGCAGGCAAUAGAUAGCUAACAGAUGAAGCAGUUAAUAGAAAAAAAACCUUUAUAUAUUGGCAGUGAAGCAGCCAGGAUGCAGUGUGUGCUGUAUGUGAGAGGUGCUCCCUGGUUUGCAGCACCUCGUGCUCUGAAUGCCCCUCUGUUUGGGAACACAGCAGUGCCUCUGCUUGGGGGAAUUUUGCCUUCCUCUGCCACAUAGCAGAGAGGGAUACAACAAAUCAAGUCAUACCAAAGUAGGGAGGGACAUUAUUCACCUUCCAGAAAAAAAGCAUCUAACUGUUCUCCUACUGAGUCAUAAAACUGCAUACACUUAAGUGUAAAAGAAACCAGACCUAUCUCUUCAAGUCAGACUGGUUUUGAUACUCUUUUAUCUAAGGAACAACAGAACCCAAUUGUUUCUUGGUUGGGCAUAGACCAUUUGGAGGCCAUAUGGACAUCCAGGUUUUUAUUGCACAUGCAAAGGAUAUUUUACAGUAACAAGUUACACUCUCAGUGCUUCUUCACUGAGUGAGGCUGCAGGGAGAUCAAAUAAGUUUUUCUUUAAAGAAAACACAACAAUAGAACUAAUGUGACUAAGUGCACUACAUUUACUGUUCCACUUCAUCUGGUAUAGGUAAGGAUAGAAAAGGUCUAUUGAAAUGACUGCAAAGGUGACAAGCCUUCAGAAACUCAGCCACUUUCAUUUAUUACUUACUUGAAGAAGUAAUUAGGGUUCUUACUUCUUGGCUAAUGCCUCCUAAUAGUCACUUUAUUCUUGAAAAUUUUACAAUACUUUGACAGCUGGAAGAUAAGGUAAUUGUGUAAAAAUGUUUAUCAGGAAUGGCCUAAUAAAAAUAUUUUCUUUCAGGCUACAAAGGCCUAUGCCUAUCUUUUUCUGCAGAGAGGUGGAAUGGAAUAACUUGUGCCAUAGUGUGUAGGAAAUAGAGGCAGGCAAUGGGAAUACAUAAUGAUAAUCCUGCCCAAGUGCUAUGAAUGUGAAAGGCCAUUCUGCCCAAACAGUACUCUGCCAAUAUGACAUCUUGAUUUUUCUUCAGAUGUUUCUCAUGGAGAGCAGAGUUUCUUUCAUCCAUUACACAAAGUAAUUUUAAUUUGUAUUUCAGAAAACUAGAGGCAGCACUCUCUGCUAUUCACUUAUCCACACACUGCUUCCACUGCAGAGGUGUUAGUCAAAGGCAUGGAUGUGUGAACAGCUCUGGAGUGCCCAGCCACGGCAGGGAUCCACACAGAUCUCCCAGAGGUGCCAGGACUAGGGCGAGUGUGAGGCAGAAAACAGUUCUUCUUUUGUCAGUAAAAGCUCAGCUGGAUUGAAGCAGUACUGGCCUGGCUAGGAAAGGAAUUAUAGGUGAGGAAGGGGUUCAGUACUUGGCCCAUCACUUGUCUAACAGAAAUGUCAUCAGAAUCAGAAAUGCAUCAUUCAAGUGCAGGCAUAUCAGAAAUCUUUGGGUUGUCUAUUAUGGCUGAGUCCCUACUUCCAGUGACAAAGCAAAUGCAGACUUUAUAUCCACAGACUCCUGACUCAGCAUCAUCAAUAAUUGAGCUGUUAAAGCAGUUCCUUCUUGUUGAAUGGCACUUUGUUCCCAAGUAGAGCCUGUUGCUUGAAGACCAUUUUUCUUUUAAAAGCUGGGCUGUUCUAUACUAAUGUUCUCCCAAUAUAAACAUGCUUUUCAGACCUCUUAUUGGCUUUGUCCAUGUGUAAAAUCCCAUUUUUUCCGCAUAUUCACAAUAAUUCAAACUUAGGUGUCAAUCACUUUUUCAUUCCCAGGAAACAAUCUUGUACCAUGGAAUAUAUUCCACUCCUGUCAUGGUACAAAGUGAACUAUUAGAAAAGGAUAAAUAAUACUUAAGGAAAUAUAUUUUUCCCUGCCUUUGCCAUAUUGUUUUUAAAAUUCUAUUUCCCAUUGUAUUUUCUCCUACAACCUGGCUUUGUGAUGUUGCUGUCUGCAUGCAGAAGCUAUUUAAGUGGAACGUUGCACCUCACUUGUUCAGAGCUUAUAAUGAAGAAAAAUGUGCAAAAGCAUUACUUCACAAAAAACAGAUAAGCUGCAGAAUCUGCAAUGUAUUGCAAAGCAGUAGCUGCGAGGUCCUUUAAAUGUAUCUGGGAUCAAUCCCUUAUGAGGUAUUAUCUCAUUAAAACUGGCCCAAACCCCAGCCUGCUCAGUGAUAUUUAGAUUUCUACAUCUAGCUGAUAGAAGGAAAAGAAGUAUUACACCAAGGCAUUCAAAAAAGAGAGAGAGGGAAAAGCUUUUUUAGCUUAUCUGCUUUCAUAAACAGCCAGAGGAAACUUAUUUGUACAUGCCUUCUGAAAAAGGAGUUCUGACACAAAUGAUGUUAAUACACUCUUAAAGUUGGAUAUGACUGAAUGAGAUCUUGAUCUGGAGCAUCUGAAAGGUUAUACUUGUUUACACUUAGCCCUCAGUUUGGUCCUAUAUUAAGGUGAGAUCCAGCUGUGAUGAUUUCAAAAUGUGUCCACACAGACGGUCAGAACAGCCCUGGCAGUUUGGGAACUGGGAUGCAAACAGAGUGCUGGUUUAUGACUAAGAACAUCUACCAGGUACCAACUGGUAGUAUAUGGAAUGUAUACUGUAAGUGUAUAGGGAAUACGGCAUUUUGUGGCUUCAGCUGUUCACUUUACUCUUUCGUUUCUUUCCUUCCCCAUAAGCCUAUUUCUGUAAAGAUUCAAUAUGUCCAUUGAUAACUCAGUCUAAAUGACCAUAUUUUCAAUUAGAGUUUCAUAUAGAGUAAUAAUUUUGGGAUACAGACUGAAAGGUAGGUAGAGUUUGUUUCAUACUACAAAUACCACAUUGGUGGCAAAGUUACUUAGAAAAAUAAAGAUUCACUUUUCUUAAAAAAUAGCUAAAAUAGAAGGUGUUAUAAAACAUUUGGUUAUGAAAACCAGGGCAAGCCCAGGUUUACUCCUCCACCCAGAGGACUCUCAGCUUUACACUGCAUUAUGAACAAGAGAAGAAAAUCAGCCAAGAACUAUCUUACAGGGUGUGUCCUAUACACAUUUGAAAUAUCUCUGUUCCAAGGUACCAUUUUCCUGUACACUUUGGUAUAGUAAGGUCUCUCAGGUCACCUCAUCAGCCACAAAUCAUUUUUUGGAUUGGCUUUUUUUUUGUUUGUUUUCAUUGGUUGGUUUGGUUUGACUUUUAUUUUCUUUUACUUCAGAAAAUCCUAUAACAUUAUUUGAACAUGCAUUUUUUGUGGUUUCCCUUUCCUUUCUCUAUCCCUAAAUUGAUUGUUUAAAGACUAACCCUCUGAAGGAAGCAAAUGAAAACUGAUGUCAUAUUGUGUCAGAUGAUUGGGUAUUCGAGAAUUUUAAUUUCAAAAUACAGUGGAUUAUUGUACUUUAGACAGUGGAUUUUUACUGUGCUACCACCUAAUGAGAGCACAUGUGGUCUUCAGAACUGAAGUCACAGGGGAGCACUGCUUUUAAAUCCCAUUAAUUUUUUGGUAGACUUGUUAUUUGCUUUUCUCUUUCCUUCCCCAGAGUUUCAGCACCUUUGAACACUCUAGAAGAAGUGCUAAUGCUUUACUUCACAGAAAAUGUCCUAGGUACAAAUCAGCCUGCUACAACAACAGCCAGAGUACCGCCGCACUCUGCUACUGGUCUUGCUUCCCUACUUAUUUAAAGCCUGUUAUGAGAGCAAAUUACCCAAAAGAAGGCCAGGAGAAUGGGGGAGAUAUGUACUUGGGGGAUCACAGCUGCUGGGAAGUGGAGCUCAGCCAUGCCAGACCCCUCUGCUGCCUCUCCUGGUGCUCCAAUCUCUGACUCUCUGGGUAGGUUGGGCUCUCCCACUGUACAUUAGCACAGGCUGAAUCCCAUAGUGGGACUGUUGCUCAGCAACAGCGGCGAGAACAAUUUGGUUUUGGACCAUUCAGAAGAUGAUUACAUUUGCAGCAUGUUCCCCCCCACCUCCCCUCCCCUUCCCAGUACCUAUUCCUGGAUAUUGUAAAUAUUCAUCCCAGUUUUGCAUAUACAGUAGUUUCCCCUCUAGGUAAAAACCAUACCAUCCAAAUGAGCUUUUAAGAGUACUUUACUCUAAUGCAUGCCUACAUUUCCUCUCAUUCAGUAGGUAUAAUGUUGCACACAAAAUGGCAUUGUUGGGCUUCUGGGGGGGUUUAUUUGUUUUGUCUAUGUCAGAAAAAUUUCAGCUGGAGCAGGGCUGGGCUCUUUAUGACAGUGCUGCUUCAUUGCUUUUUUUGAGACACGUAAAACAAGUGAAGUAUUUAAAUAGUUGUGAACACCUGAAUGACUUUAAAGCAUUUCAGUAAGAGAUAGGUUCAGAUCUCCAGAUUUCCAAUUUCCUUCCUAAUUGUUUCUUUAUCUACACAUCUUUCAGCAUCCCAUUAGAAAACCAGUCCCACGCUCUCAACUUAAAAGAGUUUGUCUGGAGACUAUAAUGCAAUAUUUAAAUAUUUGUCAUACAUUUCCCUCAGCUUUCACUCUCAGUAGUAAUUUAUUCUAAAUCUUCCAGUUUUCUUUCUAUUAACACAUACGUAACUGCUGCAAGGGUAGCUCUCCAGGUCAGCCAUCCUGAUCCACCCACCCUUUUGGCAAGGCCUUCCACUCCUGCUCCUUUUGUCUUUAGUGCCUCCUUCAUGCCCUGCAGAGCAGUGUACACUCACCCACCUGUCUGUGCCACAAUCACAGAAACUAACUUGGAUAUACUAUUUACAAACAUCACAUGCAACCUUCCCCUUAUUUCUCCCCCCAGGAAAACAAGAAGAGAGGGAGAAAAAAAUACU
Long non-coding RNA from Passer domesticus (house sparrow), 6309 nucleotides. RefSeq lists it as uncharacterized. The record is from RefSeq and is a predicted model, not a curated record. The transcript has 4 exons. Lineage: Eukaryota; Metazoa; Chordata; Aves; Passeriformes; Passeridae.